RNAcentral lists this ribosomal RNA (227 nucleotides) under uncultured bacterium. Its description in RNAcentral is "partial 16S ribosomal RNA". It matches the Rfam family "Bacterial small subunit ribosomal RNA", at positions 107 to 334 of the family's 1533-position model. The record is from RNAcentral.
UGAGUAACACGUAUCCAACCUGCCGUCUACUCUUGGACAGCCUUCUGAAAGGAAGAUUAAUACAAGAUGGCAUCAUGAGUCCGCAUGUUCACAUGAUUAAAGGUAUUCCGGUAGACGAUGGGGAUGCGUUCCAUUAGAUAGUAGGCGGGGUAACGGCCCACCUAGUCAACGAUGGACAGGGGUUCUGAGAGGAAGGUCCCCCACAUUGGAACUGAGACACGGUCCAA